UAAAGAAGGAAAAAAAAAGAGAAAAAAAAUCAAAAAA
This 37-nucleotide small RNA is filed under the name Arabidopsis thaliana (thale cress). RNAcentral describes it as "ATSL235460". The record is from RNAcentral. Lineage: Eukaryota; Viridiplantae; Streptophyta; Magnoliopsida; Brassicales; Brassicaceae.